GCCUUCAUGGUGUAGUGGUUAGCACGCUCGAUGCUUAUUCGAGAGGUCCAUGGUUCAAGCCCUGGUGAGGGCA
This 73-nucleotide transfer RNA is filed under the name Stegodyphus mimosarum. RNAcentral describes it as "tRNA-Lys for anticodon CUU". It matches the Rfam family "tRNA". From Rfam's summary of the family: Transfer RNA (tRNA) molecules are approximately 80 nucleotides in length. Their secondary structure includes four short double-helical elements and three loops (D, anti-codon, and T loops). Lineage: Eukaryota; Metazoa; Arthropoda; Arachnida; Araneae; Eresidae. The record is from Rfam by way of RNAcentral.